UACGUAGGGGGCUAGCGUUGUCCGGAAUCACUGGGCGUAAAGCGCACGUAGGCGGACUCUUAAGUCGGUGGUGAAAUCCUGGAGCUCAACUCCAGAACUGCCUUUGAUACUGAAGAUCUUGAGUUCGGGAGAGGUGAGUGGAACUGCGAGUGUAGAGGUGAAAUUCGUAGAUAUUCGCAAGAACACCAGUGGCGAAGGCGGCUCACUGGCCCGAUACUGACGCUGAGGCACGAAAGCGUGGGGAGCAAACAGG
RNAcentral lists this ribosomal RNA (253 nucleotides) under uncultured bacterium. Its description in RNAcentral is "partial 16S ribosomal RNA". It matches the Rfam family "Bacterial small subunit ribosomal RNA", at positions 524 to 776 of the family's 1533-position model. The record is from RNAcentral.